Molecule: long non-coding RNA, 719 nt
Filed under: Anser brachyrhynchus (Pink-footed goose)
Lineage: Eukaryota; Metazoa; Chordata; Aves; Anseriformes; Anatidae
Description: lncRNA (ENSABRG00000009550.1)
Source: RNAcentral
GGGUGAGCUAACAGGACUCGUUCUUCCUCUCUUUGCAUUUAAAAAUAUCUGUCUUGCACUGUUUCUGCUUCUGUCAGUUAUUGUCAGCAUCCUAUCCAGAAGAUAUAAUGUAUAGUCUCUAUGCCCUGUGGAAUUUUGGAGAGUGCAUGCUUUCAUCAGAGUCUUCACAAAGUGCUCACAACCGGAGAGAACUCACGGUAAAACUGUAGCUGCGGAGUGCCUCUUACAGAAUGCUUUUAAGGAAAUUCAGUGCUGUGAAAAUGGUCUCUCUAAGAAUCUUUCUGAAGAAUUGCUCAAGCUUUUGUGGACAGUUCAUGUAACAUCUGAGGACCUCGUAUUUCCUGAGAACUAUAUGAAUGCUACCAGAGAAGCAACAUGGGACAGACAAAAGUGGGGAGCCAACUCAGGAGCAAAGGAGCCAUCCCUUGGGGAAACUCUGCUCAAAGUUAAAGGCCUUUCAAAACAUGCAUGUUCAAUGGAAACUUCUUUGAAGAUUCCAGUUUAACAACCUCCGUCUGUCACAUUGAGAAUAAUCCAGUUCAGGACUCUGGGGCUAAGGGAAAUGCCUGCACUUGCUCUUUUUUUUUUUUAUCAUGAGAGACUCGGGCCUGAGUCAUGGGAAUACAGGAGCCAUGGAAUACAAGGAGCUGGGAGCAGCAGCCUCUGCUUUCCUGACUAGGUACUUUGGAGAAAAUAAAAUGUGACCCGACCCAAGUGCA